RNAcentral lists this transfer RNA (74 nucleotides) under Candidatus Wallbacteria bacterium GWC2_49_35. RNAcentral describes it as "tRNA-Arg". It matches the Rfam family "tRNA". From Rfam's summary of the family: Transfer RNA (tRNA) molecules are approximately 80 nucleotides in length. RNAcentral also lists the same sequence under 1 other name. Lineage: Bacteria; Candidatus Walliibacteriota. The record is from RNAcentral.
GGGCCCGUAGCUCAUUUGGAUAGAGCAACUGACUUCUAAUCAGUUGGCGGGAGGUUCGAAUCCUCUCGGGCCCG